AAUUGGAGGGCAAGUCUGGUGCCAGCAGCCGCGGUAAUUCCAGCUCCAAUAGCGUAUAUUAAAGUUGCUGCAGUUAAAAAGCUCGUAGUUGAAUUUCGGGACCAAUAUGUCGGUCGUGCUUCGGUACGUACUGUCAUAAUUGGUUUCUCCCUUCUGAAGAACCUUGAUGUCAUUAAUUUGGUGUCUUGGGGAAUCAGGACUGUUACUUUGAAAAAAUUAGAGUGUUUAAAGCAGGCUCGCGCUUGAAUACAUUAGCAUGGAAUAAUGAAAUAGGACGUUUGAUUCUAUUUUGUUGGUUUCUAGGAUCGACGUAAUGAUUAAUAGGGAUAGUUGGGGGCAUUAGUAUUCAAUUGUCAGAGGUGAAAUUCUUGGAUUUAUUGAAGACUAACUACUGCGAAAGCAUUUGCCAAGGAUGUUUUCAUUAAUCAAGAACGAAAGUUAGGGGAUCGAAGACGAUCAGAUACCGUCGUAGUCUUAACCAUAAACUAUGCCGACCUAGGGAUCGGAUGAUGUUAAUUUUUUAAUGACUCAUUCGGCGCCUUACGGGAAACCCAAGUGU
RNAcentral lists this ribosomal RNA (559 nucleotides) under uncultured Glomus. RNAcentral's name for it is "SSU rRNA". It matches the Rfam family "Eukaryotic small subunit ribosomal RNA", at positions 546 to 1106 of the family's 1831-position model. The record is from RNAcentral. Lineage: Eukaryota; Fungi; Glomeromycota; Glomeromycetes; Glomerales; Glomeraceae.